Molecule: long non-coding RNA, 1126 nt
Filed under: Aquila chrysaetos chrysaetos
Lineage: Eukaryota; Metazoa; Chordata; Aves; Accipitriformes; Accipitridae
Description: lncRNA (ENSACCG00020004831.1)
Source: RNAcentral
GAAUGACUUAAAUUUUAGCCAUACUGACUGAAUUGAUCCAAUUUAUGUAUGCAUGGGUAGAACCUGGGAGGUGUCUAUGAAAGCCCUUCUCCAAGAAGCCUUUCUAGAAGGGCUCUCAAAAUUGUAGGUCUGGAAUUUUCUUCUAGAAUGGGCAAUUUAAGUGCUUGGAGAUAAUGGUCUGAUUCUCUGGGGGGGGGGAGAUACUGCCUGAAACUGAUCUGUACCAUGAGCUGCAGAGUUCAUUGUGGACAGCAGGCUCUGAAGAGUGUUUCUUAGACCUUGCUGAAGACUUGCAAGGACACAUCAAGCCCACUGCUGCUGGCUGAGGUAGUGGCUGAAGCAGAUGCCUCUAAACCCUCCAUCAGUGGUGAAACAGGCCCCGAGGUCAUUGAUUGCUAAUUGCAAGUACAAGGGGUGAUCUAAACUUUCAAGAUCAGCUGAAAGGCUUCAAGAUCAGAGUUAGAAGGGCGUUCCACGGAGCAGAUGAGUGGUCGUGGUUUCUUCCCAGCAGAGCUAGAACCCCCGGAAAGGUACAGCGGGUGCUCUGGCUGUCACCGCAGCGCUCCAAACCUGUGGCUGAAGUCGAUGUCUUUCCUUCUGAGCAGUGACCGUCUUUCCAGUCCACAGAAGGAGCGGUUCCUCAGACCUGGGGAGAGAUGCAGAGACCUGCCGAUGAAAUCUCCUCACAGACAGACUAUGGAAAGACUUUCUUACCCCUCCCAGGCCUUGGAAAUGACUUGAUGAUCUUUUGGCAUUUUCCCCUCUUCUCCUGAAUACUGCAGGUAGUCUGAGCAGAGGUGCUACUGGUCUUGUUUUUCCUGUUUGAGUAAUUGCCAUUACUUUAAACAGUGAUCAGCUGUGUAGAAUAAUGGCUUUGUAGAAGUGGGGAUCUGUGUGGAAAUGCUUUCUGAAGGGAGCUGGGGCUGUCAUGUGUAAAUCGGUGUGUGGUUGGGUGGCCGAGCUAUGUGGUUCCCGCCCGGCGCGGGGCUCGAACCGGCAACGUCCGGAGCCGCAGUCGGGCGCCCUACCCCUGAGCCGCGCCCCCGGCGCGGGGCUGUCGGGCGGGCGUUUGGCGGGAAGAGAUGGCUCAGGGGCAGCGCGCCGGGCUGGGGACCGGCAGGUCCCC